This 511-nucleotide ribosomal RNA is filed under the name uncultured bacterium. RNAcentral describes it as "partial 16S ribosomal RNA". It matches the Rfam family "Bacterial small subunit ribosomal RNA", at positions 28 to 506 of the family's 1533-position model. The record is from RNAcentral.
GAUGAACGCUGGCGGCGUGCCUAAUACAUGCAAGUCGAACGAAACUUCUUUAUCACCGAGUGCUUGCACUCACCGAUAAAGAGUUGAGUGGCGAACGGGUGAGUAACACGUGGGCAACCUGCCCAAAAGAGGGGGAUAACACUUGGAAACAGGUGCUAAUACCGCAUAACCAUAGUUACCGCAUGGUAACUAUGUAAAAGGUGGCUAUACUACCGCUUUUGGAUGGGCCCGCGGCGCAUUAGCUAGUUGGUAGGGUAAAGGCUUACCAAGGCAAUGAUGCGUAGCAGAAUUGAGAGGUUGAUCGGCCACAUUGGGACUGAGACACGGCCCAAACUCCUACGGGAGGCAGCAGUAGGGAAUCUUCCACAAUGGGCGAAAGCCUGAUGGAGCAACGCCGCGUGGGUGAAGAAGGUCUUCGGAUCGUAAAACCCUGUUGUUAGAGAAGAAAGUGCGUGAGAGUAACGGUUCACGUUUCGACGGUAUCUAACCAGAAAGCCACGGCUAACUACGU